Molecule: non-coding RNA, 88 nt
Organism: Coniosporium tulheliwenetii
Lineage: Eukaryota; Fungi; Ascomycota; Dothideomycetes
Source: the annotation of a GenBank genome assembly
GUUCCACUGGCGCAAUGGUAGCGCGCCAGACUUCUAUUUCGGCAGGGCAUCUGGAGGCUGUGGGUUCGGUAAGUCUAGAGUUCGAACU